AGGGAUGACUGCCUUCGGGUCGUAAACCUCUUUCAGCAGGGACGAAGCGAAAGUGACGGUACCUGCAGAAGAAGCACCGGCCAACUACGUGC
RNAcentral lists this ribosomal RNA (92 nucleotides) under uncultured bacterium. RNAcentral's name for it is "partial 16S ribosomal RNA". It matches the Rfam family "Bacterial small subunit ribosomal RNA", at positions 404 to 508 of the family's 1533-position model. The record is from RNAcentral.